Molecule: ribosomal RNA, 373 nt
Filed under: uncultured organism
Description: bacterial SSU rRNA
Rfam family: Bacterial small subunit ribosomal RNA
Source: RNAcentral
CGGGGGGAGCAAGCGUUGUUCGAUUUACUGGGCGUAAAGGGCGCGUAGGCGGCCACCGCAAGUCGACUGUGAAAUCUCCGGGCUUAACCCGGAACGGUCAGCCGAUACUGCGGGGCUAGAGUGCAGAAGGGGCAACUGGAAUUCUCGGUGUAGCGGUGAAAUGCGUAGAUAUCGAGAGGAACACCUGCGGCGAAGGCGGGUUGCUGGGCUGACACUGACGCUGAUGCGCGAAAGCUAGGGGAGCGAACGGGAUUAGAUACCCCGGUAGUCCUAGCCUUAAACGAUGAAUGCUUGGUGUCUGGGGUUCUAUAGUCCCCGGGUGCCGUCGCUAACGCUUUAAGCAUUCCGCCUGGGGAGUACGGUCGCAAGACUG